CCCUGUUUACUCUAGUUGCAAUUCUCUGAACUUUCUCAAACUCCAUUACGUCUGCCUUGAAGGGAAGUGACCUGGAAUUGUCCAAGCGAUGUCCUCCCCAAAGGCAGAAGGAUGGAUUGAAUAAUUUAUUAAGAAAACAAUUCCGCUUUCCCUGUGGUAGUAAGACCUCUACCUGGGAAGACCUAGGACUGAGAAAUCUGCUCUGCCUGGCCUGCUGACUUGCAAAUCAACCUCUCCUGCCCAGACACAUGAGCCAAGCCUACUUCUGUAUUUCUGAGCAUCUUCAACUCCCUUCCAUUUACCAAUCUUCCCUGUCUGCACCUGCCACUCAAAGCCUGCUAAACAGGAAUGGGAGAAUCUGCUUCCCAGACCCUUCACCUCCUCCAAUUUCACAUCCAAGUAGACUCCCUUCUUAACUUCCCCACUGGUAAUUAAGACCAGAUUCAACCUGCAACUUCAGGCCCUCCAUUCACCAAGUCCUGUUGAUUUUACAUCCUACCUGCCUUCUGUGCAAUUGGAGUAAUGGCCGUACUCCCUUCCCUGUGUUGUGGAGAUCAGAUAAGGCUACCGUUAGGCAGCAGCCAGAAGAGGGCCCAGUGUUAGGCCACCCCUGUGCCAGAAUCACACCUCUCCCAGCAGCCAUCCAGGGGGAUCCCAGAACAUGUGUAGCUCCUGUCAAGAUCCCUCGGUCCCUCCCAAUCUGCCAGGGCUGACCUCACCAUGUCCCCUAUCCUCACUGAUGUCCCUCCCCAUGAGACCCCCAGGUGACCUCUCAUCCCUGGGAGUCUAAUGCCCACCCUAUUUCCUGACCUCAUCUGGCAUUCCUCCCCAUCUCCGGCCCUCUGGAACUUGGGUCAGUCAUCGGCAGAAUCUUCCUUUCACUCUAUCUCCUCGGAGUGUUCCUUUCACCUCCCUAACUGAAACUUGGCUCUGUCCCCUAGGGACACUGCUUCCCCUGCAGCCUCUGCAGUGGUGGUUGGAUCUCUUCCAUGGGGCUGGAGGUGGGAUGGAGCUCUUUUUGCUCCUUGUUGCUACCUCUAGACCAGGCUCCAGUCAUUGUUACCACAUUUUGAUCAUUUUGAUAUCUGUCUCACCUUCACUUUCCCCAGAAUCUUAGUCUUAGUCAUCUCAAAGGACACACAGAUCAGCUUUCCAACGCUCUGAUUUCUCCUCCAAUGACCCUGUCCUCCACCUACCGGACCUCAAUUGCUCACCCCCACGGCCUUACCUUAGACAAGCACUGGCCAAAGGAACUUCGGGAGCUCAUGAUGGAAAUAUUUAAUCUACUCUGUCCGGAUGGCAUAGCCUUAGUCACAAGUGGUUGGUUGCUAAACACCUGAAAUGUGACUAGUGCAACAGAAGGAAACAGGUUAUAAAUUUUAUUUAAUGUUUAACUAAUUUAAAUGUGAAGCAUCUAUCUAUGCUUGUAUUCUCCUUGUGCUGUCCUGCUUCUAUAGCUGAACUUAGCUCUAUGCUAAGAUCAACUCGCUUCCAGCGUCUUAGAGCCCGCCCCUCUCACUACUAAAUUCUCCCCCCUUUCUUCAUCAGUUUCUCGGUCUCCACAAGGUCAUUUCCAUCAGCUACACACAUACUGUUGUCUCUCCUGUCUUAAGAAAAAUCUCCCCAUCUCCCCAUCUUGGGACCCCAGCUCCCCAUCUUGCACUGCUGUAUUCCCCUCAUUCUCUAGAGCAAAACUCCCAGAGAGAAUGGUCUACACUCACAGACACCAACCUCUCUCCUCCUAUUAUUGCUUGAAUCUCCACUCAGAAAGUGCUCUUGACAUAGUACCCAUGACCCCGUAUUGAUAAAUCCAGUAAUUAUUUCCCAACCCUCAUCUAACUUGAUCUAUCAGCAGCAUUGUACGGAUUCUUGACUCUCUUCUCCUUGGAACUCUUUCUUCACUUGGCUUUCAGGACAGCACGCUUGCCUGGUCUUUCUCCCGCCUUUCUGGCUGCUCCAUCUUUCUGUCCUGUAAUAGCUUCUUCUUCAAUUCUACAACCUCUGAAUGUCAGCAGGCCCAGGGGUUAGUCCUGGGACCCUUUCAUUUUUCUACCUAUUCGCUCCUUAGCCGAUCUCACCCAGUCUCAUGGCUUUAAACAUCACCUACAUGCUGAAAAUUCCUGCAUUUUUAUAUCUCCAAUGCAGACCACUCCUCUGAAGUCCAGCCCAAAUUAUCCAGCUGCCAACUUGACAUCCCUAAUCUAACAGGUCCCAAACUGAACUCCCAAUGUCUGCUUCCCUGCAAAAAUAGCUUGCUCUUCCUACAGUCUUCUCCAUGUCAGUUAAAGCCAAUUCCAUUUUUUUCCAGCAGCUCAGCCAAAACCAUUAGAAAUACCCUUGGUGUCUCUCUCUCGAUCGUGUACACACACACACACACACACACACACACACGCGCGCGCGCGCACACACUAUAUCUGAUCCAUUAGCAAAUUUUAUAGACUUUGUGUAUCUUCAACUGUAACCGGAAAGUGAUCACUUCUCAUCACCUGCAUUGCAACCACUGUGUUCGGAGCCACCAUCGUCUCUCUCCUGGAUUACAGCACUAGUGGUUUCUCUGAUCCUGCCCUUGUUUCUGCAAUCUAGUCUCAAAAAUCAGAAAAAAUUCAAGUUACAUCAUGUCACUCUUCUGCUCAGCAUGUUCCAGUGACAGUCACUCGGAGUAAAAACCAAAGUUCUUAUCAUGGCUUUCAAGGUCCCAUGAGACUGGGACCCUAUUAUUGCUUUUACCACUUUCAUAAUUUCUCUUCCCCUCCUUCACCUGAGACUGGCCAAACCAACCUUCCCACUGCUACUGGAACUUAUCACGUAUGCUCCUGCCUCCGGGACUUUGCACCUGCUAUUCUCUCUGAAUGGAAGACUCUUCCCCAGAUAUCUUUGUGGCUAGGUCCCUCAUUCCUUUAGGUCUAUUCAAAUCUCACCUUUUAUUGAGGUCUUUAUGGACUCUGCUAUCUAAGAUUUUUACACCCCUCCUCAACACUGCAUUUUCCCUUUUCCUGCAUUAUUUUUUCCCUUUAGCUCUUAGCACUAUCUAACUAUUUUUUUUUAAUUUAGCUUUUUUAUUGUCUGUCUCCCCAAGUAGAAUAUAAGCUCUAUGAGAGCAAGGAUUUUUGUUGGUUUUUUUAUUCACUGCUAUCUCUGGAUCUGUGUCUGUGAUAUAGCAGAAACUCAGCUAUUUAUUGAAUGAAUUAAUAAAAUAAUUCCCAUCGCA
Molecule: long non-coding RNA, 3208 nt
Organism: Herpailurus yagouaroundi (jaguarundi)
Lineage: Eukaryota; Metazoa; Chordata; Mammalia; Carnivora; Felidae
Exons: 2
Source: RefSeq, a predicted model, not a curated record